Molecule: long non-coding RNA, 271 nt
Filed under: Solanum tuberosum (potato)
Lineage: Eukaryota; Viridiplantae; Streptophyta; Magnoliopsida; Solanales; Solanaceae
Description: long non-coding RNA (STUB_LNC010554)
Source: RNAcentral
UUGAUUUAAGGCACUCAAAGUCAAAGUCAAGCUUUUUAUCGUUAUUGUAUUAUAAUUCAAAUUCAAAAUAUGGUCUCUUUCGGUCUCAUAAGGGUCGAAUAUUAAUAAAUAUUAAAGUUAUGGGAUUCCUUUCUCACCCAAUGAAUAAAUUUUGAAUUAAAAUAAAAUACAAACGACUGAAAAAGAUUUGAUGAUAAUUCCAAAAAAGGCUACACCUAUAUAAAAGUGACACCUAAAAAGGACGUUAUUCAUUUUGUCAGUUUAAAUCUCA